UGUGUACACACGUGCCAGGCGCU
RNAcentral lists this microRNA (23 nucleotides) under Homo sapiens (human). RNAcentral describes it as "hsa-miR-3177-5p". Lineage: Eukaryota; Metazoa; Chordata; Mammalia; Primates; Hominidae. The record is from miRBase by way of RNAcentral.